AUGCAGUAGCCCAUGAGACUUAGGUCGGGCACAAGUGGUUGACGUGAGAAUUGCAACCAUGCCGGGAACUCCAUAAUGCUUAGAGUGAUUGAAUCACGGAUGAAGUAUCCCGUGAGAUUGAGGUCGGCUUUAGAGAAGUGCACCUCAUGAUCAAAUCUCCUGAGGAACCUAAUACUAAGCAUUGUGGUUCAUUCUGGUGAUAUGCAGAAGGCCGGCCUAUUCGUCCACAACCUUACCCAAGACCUGGUGAAGGUGGAGAACAUCCUGGCAUAGGCUGAGCUCAAGGGACAGUGCCUAGAGCAGCUAGCCGAAAAUACUUUAGGUAUGUCAUAUUGUAUGUUUUAAUCUUUCGCUUCAAUUUUUUAUACAACUCGAAUUAUUGCCAAUGUAAUAUUGUUGCAUUUUGUUAGUGGUGAAGAAGCGUGUGGCCAAGCCGGAAUCUUAGCUCCAAACUGCCCAACAAUAGGCCCAGGCCGCCCGGGAAGAAGCUCAACAUUCCCAGGGCAUGGCUCAGAAGAUGUCUGCCCUCCUCGAAGAAGAGCACUUGCCGGGCUGCCCGAUAUGCAUUUGCCCUUCUCCAGCAGAUCUUAACAAGCACAUCGAGGACUACGACUAGCUGAGGGUCAAAAGGCACACCAUGGAUGAUGACCUGAAGAAGCAGACCUUGGACCUCAAGGAGGCUAAACUACGCUAGGGUACCGGCGAGGACGAGCUUAGGCAAGCUGACAACGUCCUUGCCAGUAAGGUGUAUCUUCUGUAGUGCACUUUUGGAUGCCGACACUACCCCGAGCUCACACAAACUUGGUGUGAUUCUGAUUACUUCGGCGAUCUACCCAGAGUGUUGCCCACGCACAUGUCUUCUACCAAGGGAGCCCUGAUCCUGAGCAUGGGAAGUGCCAAGCUUUUUGGGGGAAAUUUCAGGACGUCUCAUGUCCUGUUAUUCUUGCUGAUAAGCUCAAAUAGCUCAAGGAGCUUCAAGCUUUCUUCCGUAUGGCGAUCGAGGUUAUUUUUCAUAUGUUGUGCCCCGGGGAAGCCACCUGGACACUCUCUUCAACCUUGUUCUCUGUCUUCAGGGUGCUCCUUUUUGGAUCGACUUAUAGAAGUACUCGGUUGCCUGGGAAGGAGCACCUCAGGUGUGGGCAAUGCUUCAGGACAACUUCCUUGAGCUCAACAUGCUUCCUAUCACGAAGUCGAACCCCUUGGGACCAGAAUGCCAGGGCGUGCUCCCGAACAACUUCUUCUACAAGGUCAUGGAGAUGCCUGGCUGACCGAGCAAGAUUCCCUCGAGAAAACAAUAGGGUAGAUUAGUAGUAGUUUGAACAUGGAAUGCCGAUUAUGUGCUUGUAAAAAACUUUGAGCCUCAACUAUUGUAAAUAGUUCUGUUUCCAAGACGUGUUGGUCUGAAGUUUUAUGUUUGUGUGCUCCCGUCGUACCUGUUAAUGUUGCAGCAUUGGAUUUCGUAUGCUGUGACAACCAGGGUUUGAUUUCACCCACCUUAGGCACCCUACCAGGGAAACUAGAGGGGCAAACAAAGGGGUGCUUCCAUGCCAAUCUUAGCCGAACUGGCAGAAACAUAAGGGGCAAACAUAGGAGCAAGAAAACCCGAUUUUGCCAAAGACACAAGUCGAAAAGCACAACGUAGAAACUUGGCAAAAAUGACUAAGGAAGAAAUCACAUAGGCAGGAAAACUACCCGAUUGUAAGUAAGGGCUUUAACUACCACCCAGUUUGGGCCAGUGGAAUAAUUCCAACAACUCGGUCAAAAUCAAAAUAGGGUAAAUUAUUGAGCAUGAUGACUAAAAAAAAUUGGCCCAACAAGAAGAUAUAAGAUACCCCGAACUAGGGGUAUCAAACUUUAUUUGAGUCAUACUAUAAUGUCUGGGAUUGAGUUAAACAGUAAUAUAAGCUAAGAUAAAGAUAAAUAGAGCUAAGUGAAAACAAUAAUGUAACAGGGAAAUGCUCUAGGGAUUGAUCUUUAAGGCGCUUACUCAUGGCUUGUUUGGAUCUGACAAGAUCCUAUUUAGGAUUGGGUUGGUUCCCAUAGAAGUCAUCAUGGAAUAAUUCAUAGGGCGUGCCUUAGGUUUGACGAUAUUGUCGUCGAGCUAGAUUAAUGUUAGCUUUGAGCAUUUGGUGAGGAUGAUGUCGCAUUUUCUUACUUUUGCCUUCUUUUCGGAUGAACCCUUACCUGCCAAAGAUUUAGCUUCCGCCUCGGCCAUGAAGGCCACUUUCUGCUGCUUGGUCCUUAGGGACAGUUCAGCACUGCCCGAGAUUGUAAUGACGCCUUUUGGGCCUGACAUCUUCAACUUCAUGUACGUGUACUGAGGUACGACAUGAAAAUGCGUAAACGCGAUCCGACCUAUGAGGGCAUGAUAGCCACUCAGAAAGGUACUAUGUCGGAGCUAAAUGGCUCUAGCCGAUAGUUAUCAGGGGCAACGAACACCACAUAGAGUGUGACCUUGCCGGUGCAUCGAGCUCCAUGCCAGGGAUAAUACCCUUGAACCUGGUCUUGCCGAGCUCGAUGUGCCAUGAGUCGAACUGCAUCUUUAAGCAUCUCAGCAUAGAUGCGAUUUAAAAUGCCGCCACCAUCCAUAAGCACACUAGUGAGGUGAAAACUAUCCACAAUUGGGUCUAGGACGAGUGCAACAGUUUGCCAUGGCGGAUGCUAGUCGGAUGGUCUCGGCGAUCAAAAGUGAUCGGGAUUUCCAACCAUGGGUUAUAUUUUGGUUCUCCUCACUCCACAGUAUAGAUCUCAGGAAGAGCAUGCUUCCGAACCUUUUUGGAGAUAGGGGAUGCGUACAUCAUGAUCACAUUCUUUACCUCCGGUGGGAAUUGACUCCGGCCGCCAUUGCCCUGCUCGGGCUGCUGCAUGCCCCCGUUGUCACCAUGGGGCCAGCCUGUCGGGCUUGCUGCUUCCAAUUUGUAUGGCCUGCCUAUGGACCCAUCAAUUCUGGUUAAUGUGGGUGGCGGGCCGGUCUGUCGUUCCUGGGUGGAUAGCACAAGGCUAGUCCAGGAUCUUGUCCCGACAAGGGGCCUCUGCCACCUUUCCUUCCUUGGAGUGUCUUCUUCUUGCCACUUCUUCCUUGGUUGUUGAAUUCAGCAUUAACCUCACCAACCUCAACAUUGCUGCCACCUUGGUGCUUGUUUCGAUGGUUCCGGCGUGACCUUCCGUUCCCAUCCUUUACCUCAAACAUCUUGGGAUUGUUACCUUGGUCCUUCUUCUUUGCUAGCCAUGUGUCAUCACCGGAGCAAAAUACGGUCUUCAUUUCCAUGAUUUCAUGCAUGAUCUUGGGCUUGUAGUGACUGAGGCCCCUUGCGAGGAACUUUUCGUCGACACCAUGCUUGAAUGCGGGAUGGCCUCGGCGUCCUUGCACUCAACGAUUUCGUUUUUCGAUUCUUGACAACCCAGGUCCAGUAACUAUGUACUGAUUCAUUUUUUCUUGCCUCAUGCUACCUAGGUCACUGGCAUCCGCAAGUCAAACAUACGUACCCCAGAAAUUUUCCAUGAAUACAGCCUGAAGGUCUGCCCGACUAUCAAUUGAGCCGUCUAGAGAGUGUGCAACCAAGACGGAGCUAACCCUUUGAGCAUGAGGGACAUGUGCUUCAGUGUUGGUAGCCAUUACCAUUCGCCAUUGGUACCACUAGGAUAUAGUCAACAAUCCUAACCGUGGGACCCAAGGUGUCAUCAUAUUUGUCAUGCUUUUUUAUUUUAAAGUUCGGCGAGAAGGGAUGGGAAACUAUUCAAUCCGAGAAACAUGAAGGGCAUAGCACAGACGGGCCUCCAGAUCCUCGAAGGGCGUCAAUGGUGUGACGCGCAUCAUUUAUGCUUAUUGAUUUAUCAUGUUUGCUGGCCUCCUCACGAAGUCGAACUACUUGCUCGGCUGACGUCUCAUAGUGGCGAGGGGACGAGGUGCAUAGCGCUUGGACAGGUAGAUUGUCCGCGGAGCCUCAUACUAGAGUGAUCUUGGGAUCUUCUCCUUUGUACAUGAGCUCGACUUUUCCCUACACCGGGAGGCCGAGCUGCCGACGUGAUGAGAUGUCUCGGUGUGGAUCUUAAUGUGAUGGCCCACCGCUUCUGGAGCAUGCUUGCUUUUGUCAGCCCGCCUAUCGACAUGAUAGGCCCGUUGAUCUCCUGCACCAGGGUGCAGAUUCUAUGCCCACAAACAUUCUAAAAACUGCGUUGUGGUCCGCAACAAUAUCCAUAUCCUUCAUUAGGUUUCGAUCAUGCCCGACUGGUGCCUUCUUUGCCGCUCUCCACUGUGAUCACCCUUCAGGUUCUCCUCAUAUUGGAGGACUUGCUUCUAGUGAUAUUCGGGGUCCUGAAUUCUCCCAGGAAACCAAUUGUUGUCCGUGGUCACCUUACAUGCUAACCUAAGAAGCCUCAGAUGAGCCUCGUCGUAUCUAGGGCCUCCUAGAGACUCAUUUAGUAUUUCCUCAUCAUAACGGACAAACUCGCUUAGGGACCAAGGUUCCUCGUCACGCGGGGGCUCUCCCACUCAGGAUAACAGUCAGGGUCGAGCCAACUUCAACCUUAUUAAUUAAAUUUUGCAAACCGUGUGAGUGCCUUGCAUUUUUACUCGUGGGAGAUGCGAGGGGGGAGACAAGGUAGUGUAUGUUUGCAGUACGUAUGUAAAUAGAGUAAUGGUGGCACAUUCCUUUAAUUUUUAUGCGCUCUCUCAUCUUAUUUUUAAUAGACGCAAGUUGUAGCGUGUCUCUAUAAAAUGCUUAGUGCUUGCCGCUAAACCCCUUUACCCCUUCCUUUGAAACAUGCUCAUACAAUAGGGUAGGUCUACAUAAGUCUUGAAAGUAGAAACGAGCACUCACCUUGUUUAAGUUAGGUUUGCAUAAGUCUUUUAAAUACAAGUGAGUACUCACUUUUCUUAAUAUACUCUUUUUCCUUGGAGAUGACCAUCAUCCACCCGGCAACAAUUCAGAAAGCAGAUUUGUUGAUGGGCUUCGUUAGCUGGUUAUCCCAUAGACAAUGGUCUGGGUAGGAAUAUGGGUGCUCAUCGCUUUUAUUUGAUUCUUUUUAAGGCAAUUUUAUUCUUUAACUGUCUACGUUAUAUUGGCUUCUGUUGUAUAAGUUGUAUCUUGGUCCAAAAGCUCAUACUGUAUUCAUUCGUUCAAUUUGACUCUCCAGAGUUGUUGUGUGUGUAUGUUGUCAUUGUUGCGGACUAUUUUGAUUAUUCGUGUUGUGAUACCGACUGUUCCAACACAUGGCGUGCACGUUUCGACAUGUCCAUUAUGUGAAGGUGGAACCUUAGAAUCAUUAUUAUGCAAAGUGUACGGAAGGAUGUUAGAUCUACAUACUGCCGAUCCGGGGGUGCUACACUAUACACGGAUGUGUCUGGACAUAUCCGUGAACAAGUUGGCGGCUAAAUUUACCCAAUCCGAUUAGAGAUGCCCUAAUCACCUUUUCUCCCAACAAAAGGUGAUUUAUUAAUUCAUAAUGUCGUAUGAAGGGAUAUAGGCAAAUGAAUACACACCUGAAUUUUUGCGUGGCUAUGAUGAUCGCAACUAAACACACCCACGCACAUUGAGUACAAACAACAAGGUCAAAAAUGACCAAAUAGAGGUACUAUUUUUAUUUGCUUGUUGUAGCCUAGAUGCACGUCAGCUCAACUUGACGACUGACUGGAGUGAGCUGGCUCUAGAGACCAUUAGGGCUUCUAGGAGAAAAGAAGCCCAGCAAUUGCUAAAUCUACCCAGACCCCCUCGCCCCAACCACUGCAUUGGAGUUGUGAGCUGAGGGGAAGCUCGGUUGCUGGUAUGUGUGUUUUAGCAAUAUUCUGAUGAUGAGUUUUGUGGUCUUAAUGAAAACAUGCGAGCGUUGGACAUGACGUUAGUGAAAAUAAAGGUUAUCAGGUUCUUCCCCUGCUGUCGCGUUGCUUUUUGGGUGAGAGCAUGGAGCUAUAGCGAUGAUCUUGCUAUCGGUUUAGUGCAACCGCUCAUGCAAGGUUUAGGCAUAUGUCCACAAAGGACCGAUCGGUUGAGUUUUUAUCAAUGUGGUUUGGGUGCUUUUACUGGUUCACCUUUUUUGUGAAGCUAGAGUACUCUUUGCUUCGAAUUAUGGUGAAAAUCUUGCAUUUCGACAGCCUGCAGAUCUAGGGGACCAUCCAGGCCGAAGUCCGCCGGUUGUUUCUCUUUGGAUGGGCAAAGGCCUAUCUGAAACAUUUAUCUAUAAUCAAAUUUGUGCAGGUGUACAAGUGGUAGUGUAGCUACUCCGGUUUAAUUGUGGUGUUUUUGUUGAAGGCUUGGGAUAACUCUGUCUUCUUAGUUUUAGGAAUUACUUUGCAAUUUCUUGGAUCUUGGAUCCAGAGCAUUGUAUUUGUAAUGGUUAUCUGUUUGAAAAAAGUUACACACAUAUUUCUAAAAAAAUACUAGUUGACGCAGAAAAGAAAAGAAAACUUUACCGGCCAGGCAGGCAUGUCGCAAGCACAAGUAUAGUGUCCUGAUCUGCAGUGGCGGAGGACUCUGGUGGGCAAGGUCUAGUAGCCGUCACACCUCGAUUUGGUCCAGUUUUCCUUUGGCCGAUGCUAGGCGUAAGCUGGCUGAUAGCUUAGAGUUAUCAGCCGCCUUGAUAACCGUUCAAUGGUGCAAAUCCUAGCCGUUUCUUUGGUGUCCCAUGGAUCGCACUUCCCCUCAGUGCUAUCUUCCCCUCGCGCAACACAUGCAUCACCCACAGCUCCCACUGUCCCGCUCCAAGCACGGCAGCAGCAGCCUCGACGCCGUCUGAGCUAUGAUGCAACGGCCACCGGAGCUACGAUGCAGCGGACGACGACGCCGCCGCCGGAGCUACGAUGCAGCGGCCGCCGGAGCUGCUACACAGCGGUCAUCGAUGCCGCCGGAGCUGCGAUGCAGCGGUCCUCGAUGCCGCCGGAGUUGCAUUGCAGCGGCCGUGACACCGCCGGAGCUGCUAUGCAGUGAUCGUUGAUGCUGCCGGAGCUGCUAUGCAGCAGGCGUCGAUGCCGCCGGAGCUGCGAUGCAGCGGCCGCCGACGUCAUUGGAGCUGCUAUGCAGUGGCCGCUGGAGCUGCGAUGCAGCGGUCGUCGACGCUGGCGGAGGUGCGAUGCAGCGGUUGCGGCGCCGCCGUAGCUGCCAUGCAGCGGGCAUCAAUGUCUGCUGUCGUGGACGAGUUGCAUCACAGCAAGAGCAGUCGUGACGAGGUUGCAUCGCAACAAGAACAGCGCCGGCGAGGUGCAUCGCACCACGGUGGCCAUGGGCGAGUUGCUGCAUCGCAGCACGGCCGCCAUGGGCGAGUUGCUGUGUCGCAGCACGACGGCCGCGCGCGAGCGCCGCAUCCCAUCGUCGACAGCAACGACGAGCGGCCGCCUCGGCGCCUCAGCCCGCAUGUUGUGUCACCCCCGCUGGGUUGCAGCACUACGACGGUGGCGCUCGGGGGUCGGGGCUUCAGCACCCACCGUUUGCAACAGGGAUGUAGCAUUGGGUUGGCGCCGCCGCUCCUCCCUAGUUCACUGCAGCGAGCGGGGGUGGCCAGCAUUGCCAUGGCCCAUGGGAGAUUCUCUCCUUCGAGCGGGAGGGCUAGAGAUGGGGAGGGGAAAAAGAUGAGCGGCGAAAACGUACGGAG
RNAcentral lists this ribosomal RNA (7584 nucleotides) under Triticum aestivum (bread wheat). Its description in RNAcentral is "partial small subunit ribosomal RNA". The record is from RNAcentral. Lineage: Eukaryota; Viridiplantae; Streptophyta; Magnoliopsida; Poales; Poaceae.